RNAcentral lists this ribosomal RNA (253 nucleotides) under uncultured bacterium. RNAcentral describes it as "partial 16S ribosomal RNA". It matches the Rfam family "Bacterial small subunit ribosomal RNA", at positions 524 to 776 of the family's 1533-position model. The record is from RNAcentral.
UACGUAGGGGGCAAGCGUUGUCCGGAUUUAUUGGGCGUAAAGCGCUCGCAGGUGGUUCGUCGCGUCGUGCGUGAAAGACCCCGGCUCAACUGGGGGAGGUCGUGCGAUACGGGCGGACUGGAGGCCAGUAGGGGGAUGCGGAAUUCCGGGUGUAGUGGUGGAAUGCGUAGAGAUCCGGAGGAACACCAGCGGCGAAGGCGGCAUCCUGGACUGGUCCUGACGCUGAGGCGCGAAAGCUAGGGGAGCAAACGGG